Molecule: ribosomal RNA, 406 nt
Filed under: uncultured bacterium
Lineage: Bacteria
Description: partial 16S ribosomal RNA
Rfam family: Bacterial small subunit ribosomal RNA
Source: RNAcentral
AUUGAACGCUGGCGGCAGGCCUAACACAUGCAAGUCGAACGAGUGGCGGACGGGUGAGUAAUGUCUGGGAAACUGCCUGAUGGAGGGGGAUAACUACUGGAAACGGUAGCUAAUACCGCAUACCAUCGGAUGUGCCCAGAUGGGAUUAGCUAGUAGGGGGGGUAACGGCUCACCUAGGCGACGAUCCCUAGCUGGUCUGAGAGGAUGACCGGCCAAACUGGAACGGGGACACGGUCCAGACCCCUACGGGAGGAAGCAGUGGGGAAUAUUGCAAAAUGGGCGCAAGCCUGAUGCAGCAAGGCCGCGUGUAUGAAGAAGGCCUUCGGGUUGUAAAGUACUUUCAGCGGGGAGGCGUUACCCGCAGAGAAAGCACCGGCUAACUCCGUGCCAGCAGCCGCGGUAAUUC